This 475-nucleotide ribosomal RNA is filed under the name uncultured bacterium. RNAcentral describes it as "bacterial SSU rRNA". It matches the Rfam family "Bacterial small subunit ribosomal RNA", at positions 30 to 523 of the family's 1533-position model. The record is from RNAcentral.
AUUGAACGCUGGCGGCAGGCCUAACACAUGCAAGUCGAGCGGAUGAGUGGAGCUUGCUCCAUGAUUCAGCGGCGGACGGGUGAGUAAUGCCUAGGAAUCUGCCUGGUAGUGGGGGACAACGUUUCGAAAGGAACGCUAAUACCGCAUACGUCCUACGGGAGAAAGCAGGGGGACCUUCGGGCCUUGCGCUAUCAGAUGAGCCUAGGUCGGAUUAGCUAGUAGGUGAGGUAAUGGCUCACCUAGGCGACGAUCCGUAACUGGUCUGAGAGGAUGAUCAGUCACACUGGAACUGAGACACGGUCCAGACUCCUACGGGAGGCAGCAGUGGGGAAUAUUGGACAAUGGGCGAAGCCUGAUCCAGCAAUGCCGCGUGAGUGAUGAAGGCCUUAGGGUUGUAAAGCUCUUUUACCAGGGAUGAUAAUGACAGUACCUGGAGAAUAAGCUCCGGCUAACUCCGUGCCAGCAGCCGCGGUAA